Long non-coding RNA from Cercocebus atys (sooty mangabey), 544 nucleotides. RefSeq lists it as uncharacterized. The record is from RefSeq and is a predicted model, not a curated record. NCBI's taxonomy places the organism in Eukaryota, Metazoa, Chordata, Mammalia, Primates, Cercopithecidae. The transcript is spliced from 3 exons.
CUGUGUCUCUCCUGUGCUCAUGUCUAAGUUCAGGAGGCAGAAACUGCAUCAGGCCUUGUGAUGCUAAUGGCUGGCUAUACAGUGUGUUUCUCUUCAGCUCUGGAUGGGUGAGACACUCCCAUGGUAUCGCGGAGCCACACACCGUGAAGGACAGUAGAAUGAUUCCAUGUGAAUGGUAAAGCAGUGAUAAGAACUUGAUCCAAAGGAGCCUUCCAACUGAAGUCAAGCCAGCUGUUACUUGUAUGGUCAAAAACCAUGAUGGCACCUACAAGGCAUGUGAUUUUGAGUAUUAAGUUACUUUAUCUCUCUGUGCUUUAUCUAUAAGGCACUUAUUGAUGUAAUUCUUGGAAUCAGGAUUUUAAAAUAUGAGACUCUGAGAAGACUAUGUUUGAAACACAGAAGAUUCUGUAGGGCUCCUUUUAGUACUUCCAUGUCCAAUGGGAAAAAUGAAUGGCAGAUCACAAACAUCUAAAGACAGAGACACAGAGCCAUUCAGAACUAACAAAUAAAGGUGUGGGUCACUCCAGAAGGUAAGUAACUCCAA